UGGGGAAUUUUGGACAAUGGGCGAAAGCCUGAUCCAGCAAUGCCGCGUGUGUGAAGAAGGCCUUCGGGUUGUAAAGCACUUUUGUCCGGAAAGAAAUCCUUGGCUCUAAUACAGUCGGGGGAUGACGGUACCGGAAGAAUAAGCACCGGCUAACUACGUGCCAGCAGCCGCGGUAAUACGUAGGGUGCAAGCGUUAAUCGGAAUUACUGGGCGUAAAGCGUGCGCAGGCGGUUUGCUAAGACCGAUGUGAAAUCCCCGGGCUCAACCUGGGAACUGCAUUGGUGACUGGCAGGCUAGAGUAUGGCAGAGGGGGGUAGAAUUCCACGUGUAGCAGUGAAAUGCGUAGAGAUGUGGAGGAAUACCGAUGGCGAAGGCAGCCCCCUGGGCCAAUACUGACGCUCAUGCACGAAAGCGUGGGGAGCAAACAGGAUUAGAUACCCUGGUAGUCCACGCCCUAAACGAUGUCAACUAGUUGUUGGGGAUUCAUUUCCUUAGUAACGUAGCUAACGCGUGAAGUUGACCGCCUGGGGAGUACGGUCGCAAGAUUAAAACUUAAAGGAAUUGACGGGGUCAUA
RNAcentral lists this ribosomal RNA (575 nucleotides) under uncultured bacterium. RNAcentral's name for it is "partial 16S ribosomal RNA". It matches the Rfam family "Bacterial small subunit ribosomal RNA", at positions 355 to 923 of the family's 1533-position model. The record is from RNAcentral.